This 640-nucleotide ribosomal RNA is filed under the name Cortinarius alboambitus. RNAcentral's name for it is "eukaryotic LSU rRNA". It matches the Rfam family "Eukaryotic large subunit ribosomal RNA", at positions 1 to 615 of the family's 3401-position model. Lineage: Eukaryota; Fungi; Basidiomycota; Agaricomycetes; Agaricales; Cortinariaceae. The record is from RNAcentral.
GUGACCUCAAAUCAGGUAGGACUACCCGCUGAACUUAAGCAUAUCAAUAAGCGGAGGAAAAGAAACUAACAAGGAUUCCCCUAGUAACUGCGAGUGAAGCGGGAAAAGCUCAAAUUUAAAAUCUGGCGGUCUUUUGGCUGUCCGAGUUGUAAUCUAGAGAAGUGUUAUCCGCGCUGGACCGUGUACAAGUCUCCUGGAAUGGAGCAUCAUAGAGGGUGAGAAUCCCGUCUUUGACAUGGACUGCCAGGGCUUUUGUGAUGCGCUCUCAAAGAGUCGAGUUGUUUGGGAAUGCAGCUCAAAAUGGGUGGUAAAUUCCAUCUAAAGCUAAAUAUUGGCGAGAGACCGAUAGCGAACAAGUACCGUGAGGGAAAGAUGAAAAGAACUUUGGAAAGAGAGUUAAACAGUACGUGAAAUUGCUGAAAGGGAAACGCUUGAAGUCAGUCGCGUUGUCCAGGGAUCAACCUUGCUUUUGCUUGGUGCACUUCCUGGUUUGACGGGUCAGCAUCAAUUUUGACUAUUGGAAAAAGGUCAAGGGAAUGUGGCAUCUUUGGAUGUGUUUAUAGCCCUUGGUUGCAUACAAUGGUUUGGGAUUGAGGAACUCAGCACGCCGCAAGGCCGGGUGUUACACCACGUACGUGCU